This 468-nucleotide ribosomal RNA is filed under the name uncultured bacterium. RNAcentral describes it as "partial 16S ribosomal RNA". It matches the Rfam family "Bacterial small subunit ribosomal RNA", at positions 28 to 507 of the family's 1533-position model. The record is from RNAcentral.
GACGAACGCUGGCGGCGUGCUUAACACAUGCAAGUCGAACGGAAAGGCCCUGCUUUUGUGGGGUGCUCGAGUGGCGAACGGGUGAGUAACACGUGAGUAACCUGCCCUUGACUUUGGGAUAACUUCAGGAAACUGGGGCUAAUAACGGAUAGGAGCUCCUGCUGCAUGGUGGGGGUUGGAAAGUUUCGGCGGUUGGGGAUGGACUCGCGGCUUAUCAGCUUGUUGGUGGGGUAGUGGCUUACCAAGGCUUUGACGGGUAGCCGGCCUGAGAGGGUGACCGGCCACAUUGGGACUGAGAUACGGCCCAGACUCCUACGGGAGGCAGCAGUGGGGAAUAUUGCACAAUGGGCGGAAGCCUGAUGCAGCAACGCCGCGUGCGGGAUGACGGCCUUCGGGUUGUAAACCGCUUUCGCCUGUGACGAAGCGUGAGUGACGGUAAUGUGUAAAGAAGCACCGGCUAACUACGUG